RNAcentral lists this ribosomal RNA (474 nucleotides) under uncultured bacterium. RNAcentral describes it as "partial 16S ribosomal RNA". It matches the Rfam family "Bacterial small subunit ribosomal RNA", at positions 28 to 507 of the family's 1533-position model. The record is from RNAcentral.
GAUGAACGCUAGCGGCAGGCCUAACACAUGCAAGUCGAGGGAGGAGCCUUCGGGCUUCGGCCGGCGUACGGGUGCGUAACGCGUAUACAAACUGCCGUUCACAUAGGGUUAGCCCGAAGAAAUUUGGAUUAAUACCUAAUGGUAUAUAGAUGUGGCAUCACCUUCAUAUUAAAGCUGAGGCGGUGAAAGAUGAGUAUGCGUUCUAUUAGCUAGUUGGAGAGGUAACGGCUCCCCAGGGCGACGAUAGAUAGGGGUUCUGAGGGGGGUAGCCCCCACACUGGUACUGGGAACCGGACCAGACACCUACGGGAGGGAGCAGUGAGGAAGAUAGCAGAAGGGUAGGAAGCCUGAUCCAGCCAUGCCGCGUGCAGGAAGACGGCGUUAUGGGUGGUAAACUGCUGUUGCAGGGGAAGAAUAAGGACUACGCGUAGUUUGAUGACGGUACUCUGCGAAUAAGCACCGGCUAACUACGUG